This is a long non-coding RNA of Pan troglodytes (chimpanzee), 626 nucleotides long. RefSeq lists it as uncharacterized. The transcript has 2 exons. The record is from RefSeq and is a predicted model, not a curated record. Lineage: Eukaryota; Metazoa; Chordata; Mammalia; Primates; Hominidae.
AUUGUUACCUGCGAAGCCUAAACACUCCUGGUCAGAGACAAAUGCAAUUAUUGAAUGGGUACCCCUGACGAAAGGCAGUUUAGAGCCUCCCAAAGGACAGAAGAGAGAAAACCUGAAGCUUGGAGCUCUGGACAGACAUUGUCCUACUAGCGGCUCCUUUCCAAGAGGACAGAUUCUGAAUGAAGCAACAACCACCAAGAGAAAAACAGAGUGAAACAUUAUGGUAACCACACGAAGCUCAGAAGGAACUAGUGCAUCCUGGGCCCCCACUUCCUUAUUUCUACUGAGACUUGGCUAUCUUCUUCAAGUGUACCCCCAGCCUGGGGUACAGCACCAGGAAAGAAAGCCUAGCCAGAGAAGCUGUCACAGUCUCAUUGUUACUACUCCGAAAAACAAUAUGGUGGGAGCCAGCUGGCUUUUAAGCAAUUAAGCUCACUUAGGAAAACAAAAGUUAUAUCUUACUUUACUUUCUAUUAUGACGGUUCUAGCUGGGGUUUUCUGGCUUUCUGUUUGGUACUGGGUUUGGCCAUUUAGGAGGUUGAUGAUCAAGAGGAUUCUAGAAUUAUGGUGGGGGAAAUGAAAAAUCUAAUCUACCAUACUGGAUUAUAAAUUCAAAUGUACAGAGA